This 878-nucleotide ribosomal RNA is filed under the name uncultured archaeon. Its description in RNAcentral is "bacterial SSU rRNA". It matches the Rfam family "Archaeal small subunit ribosomal RNA", at positions 61 to 922 of the family's 1478-position model. The record is from RNAcentral.
GACCAGAACUAUGUCUGGGAGUGGCACACUGCUCAGUAACACGUAGCUAACCUACCCUUAGGACGUGGAUACCCCCGAGAAAUUGGGGUUAAUCCGCGAUAGAUGUAAUGUCCUGGAAUGGUAUUACGUCUAAAGGUAUUUCAUACAUGUUUGAAAUAUGCCUAAGGAUGGGGCUGCGGCCGAUCAGGCUGUUGGUGAGGUAAUGGCUCACCAAACCUUUGACCGGUACGGGCCAUGAGAGUGGUAGCCCGGAGAUGGACACUGAGACAAGGGUCCAGGCCCUAAGGGGCGCAGCAACCGCGAAACCUCCACAAUGCACUCACGUGCGAUGGGGCUAUCUCGAGUGCCACCUGAUGAAGGUGGCUUUUCCUUGGUCUUCAAAGCCUUGGGAAUAAGAGGGGGGCAAGACUGGUGUCAGCCGCCGCGGUAACACCAGCCCCUCGAGUGGUGGGGAUGGUUAUUUGGCCUAAAGCGUCCGUAGCCGGCCGUGAAAGUCUUCCGUUAAAUCCAGCGUCUCAAGCGUUGGACCGCGGGAGAUACUACAUGGCUAGAGAGUGGGAGAGGUCAGCGGUAUUCUGGGGGUAGGGGCGAAAUCCUUUGAUCCCCGGAGGACCACCAGUGGCGAAGGCUGCUGACUAGAACACGUCUGACGGUCAGGGACGAAAGCUGGGGUAGCGAACCGGAUUAGAUACCCGGGUAGUCCCAGCCGUAAACGAUGCAUGCUAGGUGUUGGGUUGGCCACGAGCCACCCCAGUGCCGCAGGGAAGCCGUUAAGCAUGCCGCCUGGGAAGUACGAUCGCAAGAUUGAAACUUAAAGGAAUUGGCGGGGGAGCACCACCAGGCGUGAAGCCUGCGGUUUAAUUGGAUUCAACGCCGGA